GAUGAACGCUGGCGGCGUGCCUAAUACAUGCAAGUUGAGCGAACAGACGAGGAGCUUGCUCCUUUGACGUUAGCGGCGGACGGGUGAGUAACACGUGGGUAACCUACCUAUAAGACUGGGAUAACUUCGGGAAACCGGAGCUAAUACCGGAUAAUAUUUCGAACCGCAUGGUUCGAUAGUGAAAGAUGGCUUUGCUAUCACUUAUAGAUGGACCUGCGCCGUAUUAGCUAGUUGGUAAGGUAACGGCUUACCAAGGCAACGAUACGUAGCCGACCUGAGAGGGUGAUCGGCCACACUGGAACUGAGACACGGUCCAGACUCCUACGGGAGGCAGCAGUAGGGAAUCUUCCGCAAUGGGCGAAAGCCUGACGGAGCAACGCCGCGUGAGUGAUGAAGGUCUUCGGAUCGUAAAACUCUGUUAUUAGGGAAGAAUAAACGUGUAAGUAACUGUGCACGUCUUGACGGUACCUAAUCAGAAAGCCACGGCUAACUACGUG
RNAcentral lists this ribosomal RNA (497 nucleotides) under uncultured bacterium. RNAcentral's name for it is "partial 16S ribosomal RNA". It matches the Rfam family "Bacterial small subunit ribosomal RNA", at positions 28 to 507 of the family's 1533-position model. The record is from RNAcentral.